CGGACCGGCGCACGGGUGAGUAACGCGUAUGCAACUUGCCUAUCGAGAGGGGGAUAACCCGGCGAAAGUCGGACUAAUACCGCAUGAAGCAGGGGCCCCGCAUGGGGAUAUUUGCUAAAGAUUCAUCGCUGAUAGAUAGGCAUGCGUUCCAUUAGGCAGUUGGCGGGGUAACGGCCCACCAAACCGACGAUGGAUAGGGGUUCUGAGAGGAAGGUCCCCCACAUUGGUACUGAGACACGGACCAAACUCCUACGGAAGGCAGCAG
RNAcentral lists this ribosomal RNA (265 nucleotides) under uncultured bacterium. Its description in RNAcentral is "partial 16S ribosomal RNA". It matches the Rfam family "Bacterial small subunit ribosomal RNA", at positions 91 to 354 of the family's 1533-position model. The record is from RNAcentral.